AUAUCAUUAAGUGGAGGAAAAGAAAUUAACAAAGAUUACCUUAGUAAGGGCGACUGAACAGGUAAUAGCCCAACAUUAAAAUCUCUGUUCUUCGAACAGCGAAUUGUAAUCUAUAGACAUGCAUUCGGAUGAGGUCUGAUCACAUAAGUCUCAUGGAACGGAGCAACAAAGAGGGUGAAAUUCCCGUAUUUGGUGUGAGGACUGAUUCAACGAAGCGUGUCACCGAGUCGAGCUUCUUGGGAUUGAAGCUCAAAUAGGGAGAUAAACUUCUUCCAAGGGCUAAAUAUGAAUGGGAGACCGAUAGCGCACAAGUA
Molecule: ribosomal RNA, 314 nt
Filed under: uncultured eukaryote
Lineage: Eukaryota
Description: partial large subunit ribosomal RNA
Rfam family: Eukaryotic large subunit ribosomal RNA
Source: RNAcentral